CAUCACACGAAAAAGAAAACAUUCUUUAUUCACCAUUGCUACUCUGUUCGAACCUAAGCUACCUCCCUUAGAUCUUCACAGAGUCGAUAAAUCUUGUUCCUCUACAAAAAUGUUCAUAGAACCCAGCCAGGUACACCUUGGCUUUGAUUUUCCUGUACCGUGCUAGUUGCUUCUCAUGUAACAGAGCUGUUGCCGGCUCAAUCUCUUUCUCAGGAUCCAGGCCAUGGAACAUAGCCAAUGAGAUCCUCUCUUUCCCCAUGUUUGUGACAACCCUGUGCACUGGGCUCUUGAAGAUCCCAUUGCUCAUUAUCUGUGUCCGUAAAGAUCAUACCAGAGGAUCAACAACCAGAAUAUGCAUCAUGACAGGUAUAACAAUGCAGAUAAUUUUGAAUUGUGAGUACCUCCGAGAAGUCUCCUAUGUUAACCAACAACCUGUGGGGACUAGUUGGGACAUUGUGCCACACGCCAUCUCUAAGAACUUGAAGUCCACCAACAUCUUUAUCCAUGAGAAGAAUGGUAAGAACACCGCCGUCAGAAUGAGGCUUGGCGCCAAAGACAAUAUCUGGUCUUGGACAGGGUGGGUAGUAGUUGAAUCUGGCAAAACUAGGAGCCUUGCCGCUAAAUUGGGCAACGAUGUAAUCUUCGUCAAGUCCUAGAGACUUGGCCAUUGCCCGAAGGAUACGAUCUUUGAUUCUCUUGCAGUUCAACGUGUACUUGUGUAAAAGAGCCCUGUAUAUAGCUUCAAGUUAGUCCAGCUCCAGUCAAACUAUUUUAGAUUACUGAUGCUAUCAUUUCCAACUUUAGGUACAUCACUGACACUCAUGAUAUAAACAAGUAAACGCAAUUUAUUCUUACAAAAUAGACAACAUUACCUGAAAGAAUUGGGAUGUUCAGGCCAAUGGACAAGAUUCCUCUCAUCUUCUGGCUCUACCCUGAGAUGAAGUCGGUCCAACCAGUCCAGGAUUUGAUCCUUGGAUGCCACUGGGUCAUUUCCAUAUCCUUCCACCUGGUAAUGCUUGCCGUCUAUCAAAUUACUGCACUUCUGUUUCUCUUCGAGCGGCAGAUGGAAAAACUCUCUUGACGCGUUGAUCAAAUCAUCCAUCAAAGAAGUUUCUAUUCCAUGAUUAUCAAUCUGUAUAUACAACGAACAUACACAUCAUCUCUUGUAAUGCAAAAGGCGCAAUAAAACUAGUAGCAUGCAAGAAGAACAAGAACAAGAGCUGAGAGGAUCACCAGGAAGAGCCCCCAGCUCUGCAAGGCCAACCGGAGCUUGCUUCCCUCCUCAUCAGCACCAUCAGCAGCCAACAGCCGGCUGAGAUCAAUUACAGGGAUGGCCUCCGGCUUCUCAGCACCAACCACUAGGCUGACGGGAUGCUGCUGCUCUGGCUGCACGUACCUGCUUGGUGGCUCCUGCACCUUGGCUGCCAGUUCUUGCACUAACAUAGGAAUCUUCCAUGAUUCAUUCGCCAUUAGUGCUCUCGUGGAGUGUUUUCCUUGAAUUUAUUGCUAGAUAGACUUCACUAGCUUACAAGGGGCUUAAGGUCCAACUUCGCUUGGCAAAUUGGACUUCUGGAAAGCACAGUUCUAGUUAAGAGUUCUUUUGUUGAAAAAAUACUUGGUACAUUAGCUUCAUUUAGUCACUGUCAAAGAAUAGAUUAGCUUCAUUUAGUCACUGUCAAAGAAUAGAUGGGCCACCAACCACAUACAGGCAUUGCUGUCACUAUCUGAACCAUAGAAUAUGAUAAAUAAAAUAUUGGCUAUUAAUUCAUCUGAUGACAGCUUGACAAGAAAUUCCAGCUUCAAACAAUUUUGCACUAAACCAACUAGAUCCAUCAGAACUGGAAAAAGGAUAACACUACAAGAGUACAUGUUUAGUCAAUUUUGGAUUGAGAUUUUUCUCAAGGAAUAUCAACUUGACAAUUAAACUAUCAUAUGACUGAGCGGUACUUCACUUUUGUUUUCCUUUGGCAGAAGGUUUUCAGUACAAUUUCUCGUUUUGUCCUCUGCAAAUGCACAUGCUGCAACAAAAUGCUAAGAGCGAGGUGCUUCGAAAUUCUCUCCUUUGAUGAAAGGUAUUUCCAUAAAAAAGGAUGCUAACUUGGAGCAAUGUCCAUAUACAACAGCAAUGUCCUUAACAACCAAACCAUCAUUAAUCUCGAAAUUUCCAGAGCCCAGAAUUUGGAGCAAUUAGUUCAAUUCGAAUAAAUCCACGCAAACUAAAUAUGAUUAACAGACGAAUUGACUCAAUAGAACGAAACAAAGAAUUGAGAGCUAACCUCUCUGUCAGUGGUUGAUUUGUUGCUUCAACUGUGCUCCCCACACAUGGCACGC
This 2331-nucleotide long non-coding RNA is filed under the name Setaria viridis. Its description in RNAcentral is "long non-coding RNA (SVIR_LNC003899)". The record is from RNAcentral. Lineage: Eukaryota; Viridiplantae; Streptophyta; Magnoliopsida; Poales; Poaceae.